Molecule: ribosomal RNA, 767 nt
Filed under: uncultured bacterium
Lineage: Bacteria
Description: bacterial SSU rRNA
Rfam family: Bacterial small subunit ribosomal RNA
Source: RNAcentral
AUCGCUUGCGAUUACACGAGUGGCGCACGGGUGCGUAACGCGUAUGCAACCUACCCUUUACUGGGGGAUAGCCCGGAGAAAUUCGGAUUAAUACCCCAUGGUAUUAUUUGAUGGCAUCUGAGAAUAAUUAAAGAUUUAUUGGUAAAGGAUGGGCAUGCGUCUGAUUAGCUAGUAGGUAGUGUAACGGACUACCUAGGCAACGAUCAGUAGGGGUUCUGAGAGGAUUAUCCCCCACACUGGCACUGAGAUACGGGCCAGACUCCUACGGGAGGCAGCAGUAGGGAAUAUUGGUCAAUGGGCGAGAGCCUGAACCAGCCAUGCCGCGUGCAGGAAGACGGCCUUCUGGGUUGUAAGCUGCUUUUAUCAGGGAACAAAAAGGCCAUGCGUGGCAAAUUGCGUGUACCUGAAGAAUAAGCACCGGCUAACUCCGUGCCAGCAGCCGCGGUAAUACGGAGGGUGCAAGCGUUGUCCGGAUUUAUUGGGUUUAAAGGGUGCGUAGGUGGCCGUAUAAGUCAGUGGUGAAAGCCUGCAGCUCAACUGUGGAAUUGCCAUUGAUACUGUACGGCUUGAGUACAGACGAGGUAGGCGGAAUUUAUGGUGUAGCGGUGAAAUGCAUAGAUACCAUAAAGAACACCGAUAGCGAAGGCAGCUUACUAGACUGUAACUGACACUGAUGCACGAAAGCGUGGGGAGCGAACAGGAUUAGAUACCCUGGUAGUCCACGCCGUAAACGAUGAUUACUCGAUGUAUGCGAUACACAGUAUGCG